RNAcentral lists this transfer RNA (341 nucleotides) under Paramuricea clavata. The stretch from base 216 to 288 matches the Rfam family "tRNA". Lineage: Eukaryota; Metazoa; Cnidaria; Anthozoa; Malacalcyonacea; Plexauridae. The record is from RNAcentral.
GUAUUCCAAAGGUCGUAGGUUCGAAUCCCACCGUGGCCGGGCAUAUUUUUCAAGCUCGCCCGGUGUGGAUAUGCACUCAGAGUAACAUCGCAAACAUAUUAUUCACCUGAGUACAGAAUACCAACACAGAAAGAAAAAAAAAUCAUAUUACUAGAACACAUUGGUAUUGAAGGAACUAGAUACUGUUCCGAAAUAUCACUUACUCGAACCGUCGUGACCGCGUAGCUCAGUUGGAAGAGCAUUGGUCUAGUAUUCCAAAGGUCGUAGGUUCGAAUCCCACCGUGGCCGGGCAUAUUUUUCAAGCUCGCCCGGUGUGGAUAUGCACUCAGAGUAACAUCGCA